RNAcentral lists this ribosomal RNA (777 nucleotides) under Streptomyces spiralis. RNAcentral describes it as "bacterial SSU rRNA". It matches the Rfam family "Bacterial small subunit ribosomal RNA", at positions 42 to 836 of the family's 1533-position model. The record is from RNAcentral. Lineage: Bacteria; Bacillati; Actinomycetota; Actinomycetes; Kitasatosporales; Streptomycetaceae.
GGGCGCUUACCAUGCAGUCGUACCAGGGUCACCUUCGGUGGGGAUUAGUGGCGAACGGGUGAGUAACACGUGGGCAAUCUGCCCUGCACUCUGGGACAAGCCCUGGAAACGGGGUCUAAUACCGGAUACAACCACUGACCGCAUGGUCGGGUGGUGGAAAGCUCCGGCGGUGCAGGAUGAGCCCGCGGCCUAUCAGCUUGUUGGUGAGGUAAUGGCUCACCAAGGCGACGACGGGUAGCCGGCCUGAGAGGGCGACCGGCCACACUGGGACUGAGACACGGCCCAGACUCCUACGGGAGGCAGCAGUGGGGAAUAUUGCACAAUGGGCGAAAGCCUGAUGCAGCGACGCCGCGUGAGGGAUGACGGCCUUCGGGUUGUAAACCUCUUUCAGCAGGGAAGAAGCGAAAGUGACGGUACCUGCAGAAGAAGCGCCGGCUAACUACGUGCCAGCAGCCGCGGUAAUACGUAGGGCGCAAGCGUUGUCCGGAAUUAUUGGGCGUAAAGAGCUCGUAGGCGGCUUGUCGCGUCGGUUGUGAAAGCCCGGGGCUUAACCCCGGGUCUGCAGUCGAUACGGGCAGGCUAGAGUUCGGUAGGGGAGAUCGGAAUUCCUGGUGUAGCGGUGAAAUGCGCAGAUAUCAGGAGGAACACCGGUGGCGAAGGCGGAUCUCUGGGCCGAUACUGACGCUGAGGAGCGAAAGCGUGGGGAGCGAACAGGAUUAGAUACCCUGGUAGUCCACGCCGUAAACGGUGGGCACUAGGUGUGGGCGACAUUCCACG